ACCAAGGCGCUUGAGAGAACUCGGGUGAAGGAACUAGGCAAAAUGGUGCCGUAACUUCGGGAGAAGGCACGCUGACACGUAGGUGAAGUGAUUUACUCAUGGAGCUGAAGUCAGUCGAAGAUACCAGCUGGCUGCAACUGUUUAUUAAAAACACAGCACUGUGCAAACACGAAAGUGGACGUAUACGGUGUGACGCCUGCCCGGUGCCGGAAGGUUAAUUGAUGGGGUCAGCGCAAGCGAAGCUCCUGAUCGAAGCCCCGGUAAACGGCGGCCGUAACUAUAACGGUCCUAAGGUAGCGAAAUUCCUUGUCGGGUAAGUUCCGACCUGCACGAAUGGCGUAAUGAUGGCCAGGCUGUCUCCACCCGAGACUCAGUGAAAUUGAACUCGCUGUGAAGAUGCAGUGUACCCGCGGCAAGACGGAAAGACCCCGUGAACCUUUACUAUAGCUUGACACUGAACAUUGAGCCUUGAUGUGUAGGAUAGGUGGGAGGCUUUGAAGUGUGGACGCCAGUCUGCAUGGAGCCGACCUUGAAAUACCACCCUUUAAUGUUUGAUGUUCUAACGUGGACCCGUAAUCCGGGUUGCGGACAGUGUCUGGUGGGUAGUUUGACUGGGGCGGUCUCCUCCUAAAGAGUAACGGAGGAGCACGAAGGUUGGCUAAUCCUGGUCGGACAUCAGGAGGUUAGUGCAAUGGCAUAAGCCAGCUUGACUGCGAGCGUGACGGCGCGAGCAGGUGCGAAAGCAGGUCAUAGUGAUCCGGUGGUUCUGAAUGGAAGGGCCAUCGCUCAACGGAUAAAAGGUACUCCGGGGAUAACAGGCUGAUACCGCCCAAGAGUUCAUAUCGACGGCGGUGUUUGGCACCUCGAUGUCGGCUCAUCACAUCCUGGGGCUGAAGUAGGUCCCAAGGGUAUGGCUGUUCGCCAUUUAAAGUGGUACGCGAGCUGGGUUUAGAACGUCGUGAGACAGUUCGGUCCCUAUCUGCCGUGGGCGCUGGAGAACUGAGGGGGGCUGCUCCUAGUACGAGAGGACCGGAGUGGACGCAUCACUGGUGUUCGGGUUGUCAUGCCAAUGGCACUGCCCGGUAGCUAAAUGCGGAAGAGAUAAGUGCUGAAAGCAUCUAAGCACGAAACUUGCCCCGAGAUGAGUUCUCCCUGAGACUUUAGGUCUCCUGAAGGAACGUUGAAGACGACGACGUUGAUAGGCCGGGUGUGUAAGCGCAGCGAUGCGUUGAGCUAACCGGUACUAAUGAACCGUGAGGCUUAACCUUACAACGCCGAAG
This 1280-nucleotide ribosomal RNA is filed under the name Salmonella enterica subsp. enterica. Its description in RNAcentral is "partial 23S ribosomal RNA". It matches the Rfam family "Bacterial large subunit ribosomal RNA", at positions 1680 to 2925 of the family's 2925-position model. Lineage: Bacteria; Pseudomonadati; Pseudomonadota; Gammaproteobacteria; Enterobacterales; Enterobacteriaceae. The record is from RNAcentral.